AAAAAAAAAUGAUAAAAUAAUAAUAAUAAUAAUAAUAACAAAAAGAGGAGAUUCUUCUGUCUCUCAAUGGCAUGAUCAAGACCGAGAUCUUGAACCCAAUUAAUUGUGCCAUCUACAUAUGUUUGAAGGUGUAUUGAAAAAUGUGGAGUUGCUGUUGGGUCCGACAGCCAGAGUAAGAGCGGAACAAUAAAAACAUUCUAGUGCUCUACUUAGCUUCACUUCCUUUGUUGUUUAUUUGUUCGAACUUCAAAAAACACCAAGAACCAAGAGUAAAUGGAGCCGGAUGUGGACGACGACUUUCAGAACAGGCAGCAGAGUAAAAGUUUUGAGGCGGUAGUGACUGGAGGCUGAACGGACGAACGACAACAACUUGACGGGAAAAGAAGAAGGAACAUGGAGCAGCUCGUACGUGAGGUCCAAUGGAGGAAGAAGCCUAGGUCCGACGGCGAAUUGUUCUUUGGAGAGUACUUAAGGUCGAUAGCAAUAAAGAAAACUGGGGGAGGGGCGGCGCCUGAAGGCUGAAGGGGAGGAAGAAGCCUAGGUUUCUUCUUUUCUUUCUCUUUCUAUUUUCCAUGUUUAAUGACUUUUUUAAAAAAAAAACUCAAAACAAUUAAAUAUGUCCUUGAAAAAAGAGAAUUUUAGUUUUUAAAAAUAUUUGAGUUUGUCUUUUAUCAA
This is a long non-coding RNA of Cucumis melo (muskmelon), 675 nucleotides long. RefSeq lists it as uncharacterized. Lineage: Eukaryota; Viridiplantae; Streptophyta; Magnoliopsida; Cucurbitales; Cucurbitaceae. The record is from RefSeq and is a predicted model, not a curated record. The transcript has 2 exons.